CCUACGGGAGGCAGCAGUGGGGAAUUUUGGACAAUGGGGGCAACCCUGAUCCAGCAAUGCCGCGUGUGUGAAGAAGGCCUUCGGGUUGUAAAGCACUUUUGUCAGGAAAGAAAUCCUCUGGGUUAAUACCUCGGGGGGAUGACGGUACCUGAAGAAUAAGCAC
Molecule: ribosomal RNA, 163 nt
Filed under: uncultured bacterium
Lineage: Bacteria
Description: partial 16S ribosomal RNA
Rfam family: Bacterial small subunit ribosomal RNA
Source: RNAcentral